AGUGAACGCUGGCGGCAGGCCUAACACAUGCAAGUCGAGCGGCAACAUUCGGGUGUCAGCGGCGGACGGGUGAGUAACGCGUGGGAACGUGCCAUCAGGUUCGGAAUAACUCAGGGAAACUUGAGCUAAUACCGGAUACUCCCUUUUGGGGAAAGGCUUGCUGCCGGAGGAUCGGCCCGCGCCUGAUUAGUUAGUUGGUGAGGUAACGGCUCACCAAGGCGACGAGCAGUAGCUGGUCUGAGAGGAUGAUCAGCCACACUGGGACUGAGACACGGUCCAGACUCCUACGGGAGGCAGCAGUGGGGAAUAUUGGACAAUGGGCGCAAGCCUGAUCCAGCCAUGCCGCGUGAGUGAUGAAGGCCGUAGGGUUGUAAAGCUCUUUUAUCCGGGACGAUAAUGACGGUACCGGAGGAAUAAGCCCCGGCUAACUUCGUG
This 435-nucleotide ribosomal RNA is filed under the name uncultured bacterium. Its description in RNAcentral is "partial 16S ribosomal RNA". It matches the Rfam family "Bacterial small subunit ribosomal RNA", at positions 29 to 507 of the family's 1533-position model. The record is from RNAcentral.